GAAGAGAGAGGAGCCUUGUAGGUAUCCCAGAAGAUGACAGCCACAGUGUCUGACUCUGGUCAGGACCUUGGUGCCGUUGACUCAGAGUAAUGUCCUGACCGCAGGAACCACCUCACGAUGGCGCGACUGACUCAGAUUGGUCGUCUUGAGC
Long non-coding RNA from Pipra filicauda (Wire-tailed manakin), 151 nucleotides. RefSeq lists it as uncharacterized. The transcript is spliced from 3 exons. NCBI's taxonomy places the organism in Eukaryota, Metazoa, Chordata, Aves, Passeriformes, Pipridae. The record is from RefSeq and is a predicted model, not a curated record.